This 301-nucleotide ribosomal RNA is filed under the name uncultured bacterium. RNAcentral describes it as "partial 16S ribosomal RNA". It matches the Rfam family "Bacterial small subunit ribosomal RNA", at positions 509 to 807 of the family's 1533-position model. The record is from RNAcentral.
CAGCCGCCACGGUAAUACGUAGGUGGCAAGCGUUGUUCGGAAUUAUUGGGCGUAAAGGGCUCGCAGGCGGUUUCUUAAGUCUGAUGUGAAAGCCCCCGGCUCAACCGGGGAGGGUCAUUGGAAACUGGGAAACUUGAGUGCAGAAGAGGAGAGUGGAAUUCCACGUGUAGCGGUGAAAUGCGUAGAGAUGUGGAGGAACACCAGUGGCGAAGGCGACUCUCUGGUCUGUAACUGACGCUGAGGAGCGAAAGCGUGGGGAGCGAACAGGAUUAGAUACCCGAGUAGUCCCUGUCUCUUAUAC